RNAcentral lists this non-coding RNA (31 nucleotides) under Mus musculus (house mouse). The record is from RNAcentral. Lineage: Eukaryota; Metazoa; Chordata; Mammalia; Rodentia; Muridae.
UGCCUAAAGAUGUAAACAAUAGAGCGCGCUC